GAGUUUGAUCAUGGCUCAGAUUGAACGCUGGCGGCAUGCCUUACACAUGCAAGUCGAACGGCAGCAUGAUCUAGCUUGCUAGAUUGAUGGCGAGUGGCGAACGGGUGAGUAAUACAUCGGAACGUGCCCUGUAGUGGGGAUAACUAGUCGAAAGAUUAGCUAAUACCGCAUACGACCUGAGGGUGAAAGUGGGGACCGCAAGGCCUCAUGCUAUAGGAGCGGCCGAUGUCUGAUUAGCUAGUUGGUGGGGUAAAGGCCCACCAAGGCGACGAUCAGUAGCUGGUCUGAGAGGACGAUCAGCCACACUGGGACUGAGACACGGCCCAGACUCCUACGGGAGGCAGCAGUGGGGAAUUUUGGACAAUGGGCGAAAGCCUGAUCCAGCAAUGCCGCGUGUGUGAAGAAGG
This 407-nucleotide ribosomal RNA is filed under the name uncultured microorganism. RNAcentral's name for it is "bacterial SSU rRNA". It matches the Rfam family "Bacterial small subunit ribosomal RNA", at positions 9 to 414 of the family's 1533-position model. The record is from RNAcentral.